RNAcentral lists this long non-coding RNA (1062 nucleotides) under Coturnix japonica (Japanese quail). RNAcentral describes it as "lncRNA (ENSCJPG00005011018.1)". Lineage: Eukaryota; Metazoa; Chordata; Aves; Galliformes; Phasianidae. The record is from RNAcentral.
AAAAGCUGAUUCUGAGUCACUUUGCCAAGGAAGCAUGAUGUGAUUACAUUUGAAAUGCUAUGGUCAUCUUACAUCCUCUGAGACUGUGUUCCAGAAAUGGCCUUAGUACUAAGCUGUGAGAAAAGCCGUGGAUCUGCCAAAGGUUACGUAUGCUGGAAGAAGACACUUGCUCUGUGACUGCACCCUCCCAGAUUUUGGAAGCCAAACCUGGGUUUACAAGCAGCUUGCCUCAGAAGCUUGCAGAAUGACUAAUGUAGGAUCUGGAAAGAGGGAAGAAAGAUAGGCAAAAGGAGGAGGGACUUAAACCUUGAAGAAUAGCUGAUCUUGUGGGUACCAGCUUCCUACUGGCUUUGAAAACCUGUGAAAAUGGAGGCUAAUACUGGAAAACCUGACAGACCAGCCAUGCUGUUUUGUCAGAGGAGAUUUUCUGCUGCCACUUUUAAACUGCACUGCAAUUCUACACCUUGCCUCAAGAUGACUGACCUGAAAAGCAAUGAAGACAACCUAAGGGUUUCUUCUGAUUUAUGUGAACCUAAAUUUCUCUGCUGUUGUGAUGAGGAUAACCGUUAUUCAAAGAGUGGUAUUCACAGGAAAGACUCCUUAGGUAUGGCUAUGCUCUGUCUUGGAAAUGUCUUCACUAUAGCUGAUGGAUUUAAUCCCAGAAUGAAUGAUGUUGAGAGUGGGUUUGCUCCGGAAAACUUUGAGGAAGUGAAAACCUUCCACACUGAGGAAAACAGAAUUUCACCCAAUACCCCCUCAGUGACAGAGAGGACUGCUAACAGAAACAAGCCUAAGGAGAGAACUCUGUUGCAAAAACUCUGUUAAUGCAAUUUAAUGAAAACAUAAUAAGAGUUUGUUAUGAUUUUCUUCCUCCAAAACAGUACGUCACAUGUUCAAGCCAGUAAAAAUGUUUUGAUACUCAGCAAAAUUUCUUCAGUGAGGUUUUAGUGACUCCAGUAUUUUUUCUCCAGAAACCCUCUUUGAAUCUUUCAUAAGCGUGCCAGUUUUCUGGUGGGAAAAAAAAAAAAUAAACCUGAACAUAAGACAAAUUUGUUGGGGGCC